ACGGAAGGCAGCAGCUAAGAAUAUUCCGCAAUGGGGGGAACCCUGACGGAGCGACGCCGCGUGGGCGAUGGAGGCCGGAAGGUUGUAAAGCCCUUUUUCCGCCGAGGAAGAAGCGCCGCAGGGAAUGGCGGCGCGGUGACGGUAGGCGGGGAAUAAGCAUCGGCUAAUUACGUGCCAGCAGCCGCGGUAACACGUAAGAUGCUAGCGUUGUUCGGAAUUAUUGGGCGUAAAGGGCAUGCAGGCGGUUCGUCAAGCCUCGUGUUGAAUCGCCGGGCUCAACCCGGCGCUGCGCGGGGAACUGGCGGGCUAGAGUUGUCGAAGGGCGGCCGGAAUUCCGGGUGUAGGGGUGAAAUCUGCAGAUAUCCGGAAGAACACCGAUGGCGAAGGCAGGCUGCCGGCGGACGACUGACGCUGAGAUGCGAAGGCGCGGGUAGCGAACAGGAUUAGAUACCCUGGUA
This 458-nucleotide ribosomal RNA is filed under the name uncultured Treponema sp. RNAcentral describes it as "partial 16S ribosomal RNA". It matches the Rfam family "Bacterial small subunit ribosomal RNA", at positions 341 to 792 of the family's 1533-position model. Lineage: Bacteria; Pseudomonadati; Spirochaetota; Spirochaetia; Treponematales; Treponemataceae. The record is from RNAcentral.